UACGUAGGAUCCAAGCGUUGUCCGGAUUUACUGGGUGUAAAGGGUGCGCAGGCGGACUUGUUAGUCAGAGGUGAAAUCUCACUGCUCAACAGUGAAACUGCCUUUGAUACUGCAGGUCUUGAAUCCAGAAGAGAGUUGUGGAAUUCCGAGUGUAGCAGUGAAAUGUGUAGAUAUUCGGAAGAACACCAGCGGCGAAGGCAGCAACUUGGUCUGGUAUUGACGCUCAGGCACGAAAGCAUGGGGAUCAAACAGGAGUUAGAUGAUCC
RNAcentral lists this ribosomal RNA (266 nucleotides) under uncultured bacterium. RNAcentral describes it as "partial 16S ribosomal RNA". It matches the Rfam family "Bacterial small subunit ribosomal RNA", at positions 524 to 787 of the family's 1533-position model. The record is from RNAcentral.